CCCUUAGAUGUUCUGGGCCGCACGCGCGCUACACUGAUGCAUUCAACAAGCCUAGCCUUGACCGAGAGGUCCGGGUAAUCUUUGAAACUGCAUCGUGAUGGGGCUAGAUUAUUGCAAUUAUUAAUCUUCAACGAGGAAUGCCUAGUAAGCGUGAUUCAUCAAAUCGCGUUGAUUACGUCCCUGCCCUUUGUACACACCGCCCGUCGCUCCUACCGAUUGAAUGGGUUGGUGAGGAGCUCGGAUUGGCAGCAGUUGGUGGUUCGCCACCGGCUAUUGCUGAGAAGUCCUCCAAACCGCCCCAUUUAGAGGAAGGAGAAGUCGUAACA
Molecule: ribosomal RNA, 326 nt
Filed under: uncultured eukaryote
Lineage: Eukaryota
Description: partial 18S ribosomal RNA
Rfam family: Eukaryotic small subunit ribosomal RNA
Source: RNAcentral